This is a ribosomal RNA of Vulpes vulpes (red fox), 109 nucleotides long. The record is from Ensembl. Lineage: Eukaryota; Metazoa; Chordata; Mammalia; Carnivora; Canidae.
GUCUGUGCCCAAACUGCCUGGAAUGUACCUGAUUUCAAAAGAUAAGCAGGGUUGGGUCUGGCUAGUACUUGGAAAGGAGACUACCUGGGAAUAUUUGGUAUUCUAAGCA